Molecule: non-coding RNA, 73 nt
Organism: Stegodyphus mimosarum
Lineage: Eukaryota; Metazoa; Arthropoda; Arachnida; Araneae; Eresidae
Source: Rfam
GCCUUCGUGGUGUAGUGGUCAGCAUGCUCGACGCGUAACCGAGAGGUCCGUGGUUCGAUUCCCGGCAAAGGCG